CCUACGGGGUGCUGCAGUGGGGAAUAUUGGACAAUGGGCGAAAGCCUGAUCCAGCCAUGCCGCGUGUGUGAAGAAGGCCUUCGGGUUGUAAAGCACUUUCAGUGGGGAAGAAAGCCUUGGGGCUAAUACCCUCGAGGAAGGACAUCACCCACAGAAGAAGCACCGGCUAACUCCGUGCCAGCAGCUGCGGUAAUACGGAGGGUGCGAGCGUUAAUCGGAAUUACUGGGCGUAAAGCGCGCGUAGGCGGUCUGAUAAGCCGGUUGUGAAAGCCCCGGGCUCAACCUGGGAACGGCAUCCGGAACUGUCAGGCUAGAGUGCAGGAGAGGAAGGUAGAAUUCCCGGUGUAGCGGUGAAAUGCGUAGAGAUCGGGAGGAAUACCAGUGGCGAAGGCGGCCUUCUGGACUGACACUGACGCUGAGGUGCGAAAGCGUGGGUAGCAAACAGGAUUAGAUACCCGGGUAGUC
Molecule: ribosomal RNA, 465 nt
Filed under: Vreelandella stevensii
Lineage: Bacteria; Pseudomonadati; Pseudomonadota; Gammaproteobacteria; Oceanospirillales; Halomonadaceae
Description: partial 16S ribosomal RNA
Rfam family: Bacterial small subunit ribosomal RNA
Source: RNAcentral